Haliotis rubra (blacklip abalone) is the source of this 241-nucleotide long non-coding RNA. RefSeq lists it as uncharacterized. The transcript is spliced from 2 exons. Lineage: Eukaryota; Metazoa; Mollusca; Gastropoda; Lepetellida; Haliotidae. The record is from RefSeq and is a predicted model, not a curated record.
CAGGAGUAAUAAAAUAGGCUUCUCCAGAUGAGCUCUGAGAUAAAAAUGGAAAAAAUUCCAUAAAACUGUGGGUGUCAGCAGAAUAUUAUUCAGCUCUGAUAACAUGAAAAAUGACCAGGCCCUAAUAUCCUAGAAUAUCUUGAUAGAUUAAUAUUUGUUCGUGUAAAAAAAAAGCAAUAAUAUAAUGACUUAUUUAAAUGCUGAAACUGAGACUUUGAAAAUUUUAAUAAACAUUUAAACA